CUGGAAUAGAGCCACCUCUCUCUUCCUCUUCAUGUAAAUUCACUCAUCCCAUCACGGCUGCCCCACUCUCGGAACCUCAUCUAAAUCUGAUGAUCUCCCAAAGACCCUGCCUGCAGAUACCAUCACAUGGGGGGUUGGGGCUUCACCACGUGAAUUUGAGAGGGGCCCAUACAUUCAGUCCAUAACAACAGCCAUUGACCAUAUUGGCCUUGACUCAUUAGAAAGCCCUAAGAUGGAAAGCACAGCUUGCCAGAAGCACAACUUCAUGAGUUCUCUUCAGACAGAGGCUUGCAGUCAUCCACUGAGCCGCACAGACCUCUUUUUGCUGUGUGGCAGACAGCUCAGAUGCAGGGGGGUCCGAUCAAAUCAGGCAGACAGAAGAGCCACUCUGGUUUAGAUGCUUCAUGCCCCAUAGCCGCCAAUGCUUGGGACAGAUCCAUGGCCAUAGCUGUCACUGUAUAAGACGGAGGGCAGCCCAGAAAAGUCAGGACAGGCAGGGACACCCAAACCUAUACCAUUCUAGGUCGUUACAGUUUAUCUCUAGUUCUUCCCAAACUAGACUUCAUUUGCCACUCAGGGUCAUUUUUCCUGCAAGUAUUAUUCCUAAGUAACGUAGCUGGUAGAUAUCAGGUGACCAGGGGAACAAAGCCAGUGUGUUCACUGAAGGUCAAGUUAUCAUGAAAAAGGAAAAAAGAAAUAUCUAUUGUCACCUUGACCACACUCCUGAAUUUAUAGAUACCUUUCCUUCUAUCUCACCUCUUCUUAGAGGCAAUUUUAAGAGCACUGGAGUAUUUUGAGAAGUUAUCACAAAAUGUCUUUUAACAUGAUUAGGAGAUAAGUUAUGCUAAUAUAAUACACUUUUCUCCAAUCUCUCUUUAGCAUAUUACUUUUACCAGAAGCCCAGACAUUCAUGACACGCUUGAUGCUAUAAUUAGUAAACGUCACGUAUAAUGCCUGCGUGAUGGAUUAACUUUUUCAGGAACUCUCUUUAAUAAUGUUGUACUCUGAGUAACAUCUCAAUGAAUAAAUUAAAUAAGCAGUAUGGACAUAUAUGCAUCGUAAUCAUAAUAAGACCUGGUUUAUUAAUAAGCUGGGCUCUGGAAAUUCAUGAUGAAAACCACAAAGUCCCUGAUUUAAAAACCUUGCAGUGGACCUGGGUGCGGAGACAUCAGUAGGUUUAAAAAGUAAAUACUUAAUAUACUUUCAGUUCCAAUCCAGUAAUGCAGUAGAUAGGGGAUAGUGGGCAGUGAGGUUAGGGCCAGUGUGGUGGGGAGAUGAGGAAGGGCUGCCCUAACUAGAAAGAUGAGAACCAGCCACAGCUCAUGGGAAGAGAUGCCAUGUGAUUUGAGACAAGAAAGGUUGAGAAAGGGACACCCAUGCCAAGCCCAAGGGUGGAGCUUUCCAAGAGAAGAUGCCGCAAAGGCAAGUGCUCGGAGAUAGGAACAUACUUGAUAGCACAACAGUACGACAACAGCACACAACAUAGUAUAAAAUCACAACAACACAACCACAAUAAGCAACACAG
RNAcentral lists this long non-coding RNA (1525 nucleotides) under Sus scrofa (pig). Its description in RNAcentral is "lncRNA (ENSSSCG00035064086.1)". The record is from RNAcentral. Lineage: Eukaryota; Metazoa; Chordata; Mammalia; Artiodactyla; Suidae.